AUGGAAGGUGCUCAACCUGUGAACUUGCGACCAUAUCGCCACAAACCUGAGAUGAAAACAGAAAUUGAGAGGCAGGUUGAAGAGCUAUUGGAUGCUAGCGUUAUUCAAAAAAGCAAUAGCCCUUUCUACUCACCUGCUCUGUUAGUGAAGAAGAAGGAUGGCACAUGGCGAUUGUGUGUGGAUUACUGUCACCUCAAUGAUAUGACUAUAGUGAACAAAUACCCAGUCCCGAUCAUCGACGAACUGUUGGAUGAGUUGGUGGGGGCAAGAUGGUUUUCCAAGCUUGAUUUGCGUGCGGGAUAUCAUCAAAUCCGAAUGGCAGAGGGCGAGGAGUAUAAAACCGCAUUCACUACUCACUCGGGGCACUGGGAAUGGCUAGUGAUGGCAUUUGGAGUGGCCGAUGGCCCAGCUGCCUUUAAUGGGGCCAUGACCACUACUUUGCAACCACUGAUCAGAAUUUGUGUGCUCGUGUUCUUCGAUGAUAUUCUGGUUUUCAGCAAAACUCUGAAGGAGCACGUUGAACAUGUUCGCCAGGUUCUGUAG
RNAcentral lists this ribosomal RNA (543 nucleotides) under Triticum aestivum (bread wheat). RNAcentral's name for it is "partial small subunit ribosomal RNA". The record is from RNAcentral. Lineage: Eukaryota; Viridiplantae; Streptophyta; Magnoliopsida; Poales; Poaceae.